UUGAACGCUGGCGGCAGGCCCAACACAUGCAAGUCGAGCGGAUGAAGGGAGCUUGCUCCUGGAUUCAGCGGCGGACGGGUGAGUAAUGCCUAGGAAUCUGCCUGGUAGUGGGGGAUAACGUCCGGAAACGGGCGCUAAUACCGCAUACGUCCUGAGGGAGAAAGUGGGGGAUCUUCGGACCUCACGCUAUCAGAUGAGCCUAGGUCGGAUUAGCUAGUUGGUGGGGUAAAGGCCUACCAAGGCGACGAUCCGUAACUGGUCUGAGAGGAUGAUCAGUCACACUGGAACUGAGACACGGUCCAGACUCCUACGGGAGGCAGCAGUGGGGAAUAUUGGACAAUGGGCGAAAGCCUGAUCCAGCCAUGCCGCGUGUGUGAAGAAGGUCUUCGGAUUGUAAAGCACUUUAAGUUGGGAGGAAGGGCAGUAAGUUAAUACCUUGCUGUUUUGACGUUACCAACAGAAUAAGCACCGGCUAACUUCGUG
Molecule: ribosomal RNA, 483 nt
Filed under: uncultured bacterium
Lineage: Bacteria
Description: partial 16S ribosomal RNA
Rfam family: Bacterial small subunit ribosomal RNA
Source: RNAcentral